GCUAUCGGGGUCCGAUUCAGCCCAUGCUAGUUGUACGGGUUUAGACCCGUAGCAAAUAGCUCCGUAACACGUGGUCAAACUACCCUCUGGACCGGAAUACCCUCGGGAAACUGAGGCUAAUUCCGGAUACUGCUUUCAUGUUGGAACACAGAAAGUCGGAAACGGUCCGCCGCCGGAGGACGUGACUGCGGCCGAUUAGGUAGACGGUGGGGUAACGGCCCACCGUGCCGAUAAUCGGUACGGGUUGUGAGAGCAAGAACCCGGAGACGGUAUCUGAGACAAGAUACCGGGCCCUACGGGGCGCAGCAGGCGCGAAACCUUUACACUGCACGCCAGUGCGAUAAGGGGACCCCGAGUGCGAGGGCAUACAGUCCUCGCUUUUCGUGACCGUAAGAAGGUCUCAGAAUAAGAGCUGGGCAAGACCGGUGCCAGCCGCCGCGGUAAUACCGGCAGCUCGAGUGAUAGCCACUAUUAUUGGGCCUAAAGCGUCCGUAGCCGGCCGAACAGGUCCGUCGGGAAAUCCACCCGCUCAACGGGUGGACGUCCGGCGGAAACCAGUCGGCUUGGGGCCGGGAGACCAGAGAGGUACGUCCGGGGUAGGAGUGAAAUCCCGUAAUCCUGGACGGACCGCCGGUAGCGAAAGCGUCUCUGGAGAACGGACCCGACGGUGAGGGACGAAAGCUUGGGUCUCGAACCGGAUUAGAUACCCGGGUAGUCCAAGCUGUAAACGAUGCUCGCUAGGUGUGGCGUUGGCUACGAGCCAGCGCUGUGCCGUAGGGAAGCCGAGAAGCGAGCCGCCUGGGAAGUACGUCCGCAAGGAUGAA
Molecule: ribosomal RNA, 824 nt
Filed under: Halococcus thailandensis
Lineage: Archaea; Methanobacteriati; Methanobacteriota; Halobacteria; Halobacteriales; Halococcaceae
Description: bacterial SSU rRNA
Rfam family: Archaeal small subunit ribosomal RNA
Source: RNAcentral